UACGGAGGGAGCUAGCGUUGUUCGGAAUUACUGGGCGUAAAGCGCACGUAGGCGGCUUUUCAAGUUAGGGUUGAAAGCCUGGAGCUCAACUCCAGAAUGGCCUUUAAGACUGCAUCGCUCGAAUCCGGGAGAGGUGAGUGGAAUUCCGAGUGUAGAGGUGAAAUUCGUAGAUAUUCGCAAGAACACCAGUGGCGAAGGCGGCUCACUGCACCGGUAUUGACGCUGAGGUGCGAAAGCGUGGGGAGCAAACAGG
This 253-nucleotide ribosomal RNA is filed under the name uncultured bacterium. RNAcentral describes it as "partial 16S ribosomal RNA". It matches the Rfam family "Bacterial small subunit ribosomal RNA", at positions 524 to 776 of the family's 1533-position model. The record is from RNAcentral.